GUGUUCAAGUUUUUAAGGGCAUACGGUGGAUGCCUUGGCAUCAGGAGCCGAUGAAGGACGUGGAAGCCUGCGAUAUGCCUCGGGGAGUCGGCAACCAGACUUUGAUCCGGGGAUUUCCGAAUGGGGAAACCUGGCACCCGUCAUGGGGUGUCGCCGCCGUCUGAAUGUAUAGGGCGGUUGGUGGGAACGCGGGGAAGUGAAACAUCUCAGUACCCGCAGGAAGAGAAAACAAGAGUGAUUCCGUGAGUAGUGGUGAGCGAAAGCGGAAGAGCCUAAACCGUGCGCGUGUGAUAGCCGGCAGGCGUUGCGUGUGCGGGGUUGUGGGACCAUCCUGGGUCAGCUGCCGCUGGUCCGAAGAGUUACAAAACAUCGUGAUAGUCGAACGGCAUGGGAAGGCCGACCGUAGACGGUGAGAGUCCGGUAGACGAAAUUUCGAUGUCUCUUGGGUGUGUUCCCCGAGUAGCACGGGGCCCGUGAAAUCCCCGUGUGAAUCUGCCACGACCACGUGGUAAGGCUGAAUACUCCCUGAUGACCGAUAGCGGACAAGUACCCGUGAGGGAAAGGUGAAAAGUGCCCCGGUGAGGGGUCGUGAAAUAGUACCUGAAACCCGUGUGCCUACAAGCCGUCAGAAGCGUCCUCAGGCCUCCCUUGUGGGCCUGUUCGUGAUGGCGUGCCUUUUGAAGAAUGAGCCUGCGAGUUAUGGUGUGUGGCCAAGGUUAACCGGUGUCGGGUAGCCGUAGCGAAAGCGAGUCUGAAUAGGGCGUUUUUAGUCGCAUGCUGUAGACCCGAAGCGGGGUGAUCUAGCCAUGGGCAGGGUGAAGCGCCGGUAAGACGGUGUGGAGGCCCGAACCCACCAGGGUUGAAAACCUGGGGGAUGACCUGUGGUUAGGGGUGAAAGGCCAAUCAAACUCCGUGAUAGCUGGUUCUCCCCGAAAUGCAUUUAGGUGCAGCGUCGCGUGUUUCUUGCCGGAGGUAGAGCUACUGGAUGGCCGAUGGGCCCGACAAGGUUACUGACGUCAGCCAAACUCCGAAUGCCGGUAAGUGAGAGCGUGGCAGUGAGACUGCGGGGGAUAAGCUUCGUAGUCGAGAGGGAAACAGCCCAGAUCAUCGGCUAAGGCCCCUAAGCGUGUGCUAAGUGGGAAAGGAUGUGGAGUUGCCGUGACAACCAGGAGGUUGGCUUAGAAGCAGCCAUCCUUGAAAGAGUGCGUAAUAGCUCACUGGU
Molecule: ribosomal RNA, 1222 nt
Filed under: Spirillospora sp. JCM3123
Lineage: Bacteria; Bacillati; Actinomycetota; Actinomycetes; Streptosporangiales; Thermomonosporaceae
Description: bacterial LSU rRNA
Rfam family: Bacterial large subunit ribosomal RNA
Source: RNAcentral